Molecule: ribosomal RNA, 460 nt
Filed under: uncultured bacterium
Lineage: Bacteria
Description: partial 16S ribosomal RNA
Rfam family: Bacterial small subunit ribosomal RNA
Source: RNAcentral
CCUACUGGGCGCAGCAGUGAUGAAUAUUGGUCAAUGGACGAGAGUCUGCACCAGCCAAGUAGCGUGAAGGAUGACUGCCCUAUGGGUUGUAAACUUCUUUUAUAUGGGAAUAAAACGUUCCACGUGUGGGAUUUUGUAUGUACCAUAUGACUAAGGAUCGGCUAACUCCGUGCCAGCAGCCGCGGUAAUACGGAGGAUCCGAGCGUUAUCCGGAUUUAUUUGGUUUACAGGGAGCGUAGGUGGAUUGUUAAGUCAGUUGUGAAAGUUUGCGGCUCAACCGUAAUAUUGCAGUGGAAACUGGCAGGCUUGAGUACAGUAGAGGUGGGCGGAAUUCGUGGUGUAGCGGUGAAAUGCUUAGAGAUCACGAAGAACUCCGAUUGCGAAGGCAGUUCACUGGACUGCAACUGACACUGAGGCUCGAAAGUGUGGGUAUCAAACAGGAUUAGAUACCCGGGUAGUC